GACGAACGCUGGCGGCGUGCUUAACACAUGCAAGUCGAACGGAAAGGCCCUGCUUUUGUGGGGUGCUCGAGUGGCGAACGGGUGAGUAACACGUGAGUAACCUGCCCUUGACUUUGGGAUAACUUCAGGAAACUGGGGCUAAUACCGGAUAGGAGCUCCUGCUGCAUGGUGGGGGUUGGAAAGUUUCGGCGGUUGGUGAUGGACUCGCGGCUUAUCAGCUUGUUGGUGGGGUAGUGGCUUACCAAGGCUUUGACGGGUAGCCGGCCUGAGAGGGUGACCGGCCACAUUGGGACUGAGAUACGGCCCAGACUCCUACGGGAGGCAGCAGUGGGGAAUAUUGCACAAUGGGAGGAAGCCUGAUGCAGCAACGCCGCGUGCGGGAUGACGGCCUUCGGGUUGUAAACCGCUUUCGCCUGUGACGAAGCGUGAGUGACGGUAAUGGGUAAAGAAGCACCGGCUAACUACGUG
This 468-nucleotide ribosomal RNA is filed under the name uncultured bacterium. RNAcentral's name for it is "partial 16S ribosomal RNA". It matches the Rfam family "Bacterial small subunit ribosomal RNA", at positions 28 to 507 of the family's 1533-position model. The record is from RNAcentral.